CCAGGCAAUCCGGCGGAGGACCGGGCCCGGCGCUUUGUGACGGAGGGAGGCGGCUGGGUUAAACACCGGCCCUUUCCCCCCGGGGGGCGAGAAGGGGGCCAGGAGCUCAGGCAAAGCGAGACCCCCCUGACCACCUGCACAUCCACGUACAUAGUUGCUGCUGCCGGCAGAAUAUGCUGUCUUGUGUGUGCUGCUGCUGUGUGGGCUGUUGCAACGGACACCAGUAAUGAAGAUUUGAAAGAAGAAAUUUCUAGGUUUGCAUUAAGCUCUCAAAAACGCUGAAUGGGAAAGUCAUAGUUAUCAACCCCAUUCCGAUCUGUGAGACUCAGAGCUGCCCGAACUGUAACCGUCUGCUCCUCUGCAGAAGAAAAACAGAUGAUGAUCUUCAGAGCUGGGAGUGACCGAGACCUUGUUCAUCACGAAUACAUCACCUGUUAUGUAAUCUCUGGCCUUCCUCUGAACCUGGGAGCACAGAGCUGUGAACACUGGAUCAUGUGGAAAAUCCAGAUGGAAGGAAGCGAUAUGGAGCUCUGUAACUGUUGUCCUCCCUGUACCACACACAGCCAAAAGGAUAAUUCAGCAGGGUGCUGUUAGUUUGUCUCAUUUAAUUCUGGAGGAGAAGGCAUUCCUCGUCAAAGAGUUCACGAAAAAAGGAAUGUUUGGUGGACUCAAAAUACUCAUCAUCACUGUCAACAAGUCAGCGUCUUUCAUUCAGUUGGACACUUGUACUGUAAAUACCCUCUAUGAAACUACUCUUAUUGACUGUUAAUUGUCUUUAGGAAGUUCAUGGAGCAUUUAUUCAUUAUAGGGGGUCAGUGUGUCAGAAGCACUGUUCUUCCUAAUUAAUUGACAUCAGUGGCCUAGAUUCUGUUCCAGGUAGUAAGCUGGUUGAGCUCACAGAUGAUGGCAUGUUGCACACAGCAUGGUAACCAACCUCUUUCCUCACAAACAACACCUUCUGGUAUACAACUCCAAGGGUGAAACAUUUAUUAUACUACUACAAUUAUAUCUUUACCAUCAUUAUCAUUGUUAUUUCUCUUUGAGUCAAGAAGUAGUCAUCGUCUCAUGGUUCUUAUGUCCUGUGCACAGAGAGGGACAGAGGCUUGUUUCUUGGGGGCUGUUAAAAUGCUGUGUAUGUUAUCCUGAUAGUAACUUUACUAGGGAGUAAAUCAGCUCCCUAUCUAAUUCAAGAUCCUUCUCUGGGCAUAAUGUUUACUUUAAGGUGUUUGCAACCUACAGUAAGUGCAUAUAUCUGGUUAAAAAACUAAGUGAAAAGGAAUUCCGCAGCAGAAGUCACACGUUACUCCUGGAGUCUGUUCUUAUUUAGCAGAAAGCCGCACUCAAAAACUUAUCGUCAAUUAAACCUGUGUAGCUGGAGCAACCUAGCGUUGAAUUUUGCAAUUAAGUUAGCUAAUUGGCUUCUCUUUCAGUGUAACUACAGGCCUUGUGUGAAAUGGGUCGUUAGGCUGACAAUAUCUGGCAUAAUGAUAAUGCAUUAUUUGUAAAGACAAAACAAUAAGAAUAACCAAGAACAACAGCUAGCAAUUCCUGUAAUCGCAGUCUGCUGUUUCACAGUGAAACCUUUGCAUGUAAGUAAGCCCUGACAUCUCUGCCAUUUACAUCACUUCUGAUUAUAUGAAAAAAACAACAACAUUGCUCAGUUUGGUCAAUUUAAGGGGGGUGGCAGAGAGAAGCUGAAAAUGGGUUCCUAAAAACAUUUGACUGAAUCUUCCACUUACAAACCCCUCCACACAGAAAGCAAUCUAUACAGAUUGAAGGCUGAAAUGCAGCAUGGUGCUGUACAGUACAUCAGACCCCAAGACGGAUCAUGGACUAACCAUCUUCCUUAACGUUCACCUCACUUGAAUUAAAAAUGCCCUCCUGGUUUCAUUUUGUUACAGUUAAUUACAGUUCAUUCAAGUCUUCUUCAUUGUACACAUGCUUCAAGGUGAAAAAUGCCCUUAAAUGGAGUCUAACGUCCUAAAAAUACAUGUACUGUUUAUAACAAAGUUUUGAUUUGCUGACUUAUGCUCAUAUCUUCAAAUAAUAAUGCACUGUUCACAUUGCACUUAAUUGUGAUUUAAUGCCAU
This is a long non-coding RNA of Lepisosteus oculatus (spotted gar), 2090 nucleotides long. RefSeq lists it as uncharacterized. Lineage: Eukaryota; Metazoa; Chordata; Actinopteri; Semionotiformes; Lepisosteidae. The record is from RefSeq and is a predicted model, not a curated record.